UACGUAGGCAGCAAGCGUUGUUCGGAAUUACUGGGCGUAAAGAGCGUGUAGGCGGCCAGACAGGUCCGUUGUGAAAACUCGAGGCUCAACCUCGAGACGCCGAUGGAAACCGUCUGGCUAGAGUCCGGAAGAGGAGAGUGGAAUUCCGUGGAUGUAGGCGGUGAAAUGCGCAGAUAUCAAGGAAGAACACCCGUGGCUAAGGCGGCGUCUCUAGUACGGUACUCGACGCUGAGACGCGAAAGCGUGGGGAGCGAACAGG
Molecule: ribosomal RNA, 259 nt
Filed under: uncultured bacterium
Lineage: Bacteria
Description: partial 16S ribosomal RNA
Rfam family: Bacterial small subunit ribosomal RNA
Source: RNAcentral